UCACCUUAUUUGAAAGUGGGAUAACUUCUUCAUCCAAACUCCUAUGAGAUUUAUUCAACUUCCUGGUGAUUCUCCACUAUUUUUUGUAUCCAAAUGAAGGUUCUUACAUCGCGAUUCAUCCUGGUUUGAUUAGAAUGACGAAGAAGUUGUCAUAUUCCCAAACAGAGAAAAUGGGAUCACCUUAUUUGAAAGUGAGAUAACUUCUUCAUCCUAACUCCU
RNAcentral lists this long non-coding RNA (219 nucleotides) under Brassica napus (rape). Its description in RNAcentral is "long non-coding RNA (BNAP_LNC021249)". Lineage: Eukaryota; Viridiplantae; Streptophyta; Magnoliopsida; Brassicales; Brassicaceae. The record is from RNAcentral.